Molecule: transfer RNA, 77 nt
Filed under: Rhizobium leguminosarum
Lineage: Bacteria; Pseudomonadati; Pseudomonadota; Alphaproteobacteria; Hyphomicrobiales; Rhizobiaceae
Also listed under: 217 other names
Description: tRNA-Arg
Rfam family: tRNA
About the family: Transfer RNA (tRNA) molecules are approximately 80 nucleotides in length. Their secondary structure includes four short double-helical elements and three loops (D, anti-codon, and T loops).
Source: RNAcentral
GGCCCCUUAGCUCAGCUGGAUAGAGCACCUGCCUUCUAAGCAGGUUGUCGCAGGUUCGAUUCCUGCAGGGGUCGCCA